RNAcentral lists this ribosomal RNA (465 nucleotides) under Vreelandella stevensii. Its description in RNAcentral is "partial 16S ribosomal RNA". It matches the Rfam family "Bacterial small subunit ribosomal RNA", at positions 338 to 795 of the family's 1533-position model. Lineage: Bacteria; Pseudomonadati; Pseudomonadota; Gammaproteobacteria; Oceanospirillales; Halomonadaceae. The record is from RNAcentral.
CCUACGGGAGGCUGCAGUGGGGAAUAUUGGACAAUGGGGGCAACCCUGAUCCAGCCAUGCCGCGUGUGUGAAGAAGGCCCUCGGGUUGUAAAGCACUUUCAGUGAGGAAGAACGCCUGGUGGUUAAUACCCAUCAGGAAAGACAUCACUCACAGAAGAAGCACCGGCUAACUCCAUGCCAGCAGCCGCGGUAAUACGGAGGGUGCGAGCGUUAAUCGGAAUUACUGGGCGUAAAGCGCGCGUAGGUGGCUUGAUAAGCCGGUUGUGAAAGCCCCGGGCUCAACCUGGGAACGGCAUCCGGAACUGUCAAGCUAGAGUGCAGGAGAGGAAGGUAGAAUUCCCGGUGUAGCGGUGAAAUGCGUAGAGAUCGGGAGGAAUACCAGUGGCGAAGGCGGCCUUCUGGACUGACACUGACACUGAGGUGCGAAAGCGUGGGUAGCAAACAGGAUUAGAUACCCCUGUAGUC